GACGAACGCUGGCGGCGUGCUUAACACAUGCAAGUCGAACGGAAAGGCCCUGAUUUUGUGGGGUGCUCGAGUGGCGAACGGGUGAGUAACACGUGAGUAACCUGCCCUUGACUUUGGGAUAACUUCAGGAAACUGGGGCUCAUACCGGAUAGGAGCUCCUGCUGCAUGGUGGGGGUUGGUAAGUUUCGGCGGUUGGGGAUGGACUCGCGGGUUAUCAGCUUGUUGGUGGGGUAGUGGCUUACCAAGGUUUUGACGGGUAGCCGGCCUGAGAGGGUGACCGGCCACAUUGGGACUGAGGUACGGCCCAGACUCCUACGGGAGGCAGCGGUGGGGAAUAUUGCACAAUAGGCGGGAGCCUGAUGCAGCAACGCCGCGUGCGGGAUGACGGCCUUCGGGUUGUAAACCACUUUCGCCUGUGACGAGGCGUGAGUGACGGUAAUGGGUAAAGAAGCACCGGCUAACUACGUG
Molecule: ribosomal RNA, 468 nt
Filed under: uncultured bacterium
Lineage: Bacteria
Description: partial 16S ribosomal RNA
Rfam family: Bacterial small subunit ribosomal RNA
Source: RNAcentral